RNAcentral lists this ribosomal RNA (465 nucleotides) under uncultured bacterium. Its description in RNAcentral is "partial 16S ribosomal RNA". It matches the Rfam family "Bacterial small subunit ribosomal RNA", at positions 338 to 795 of the family's 1533-position model. The record is from RNAcentral.
CCUACGGGAGGCAGCAGUAGGGAAUCUUCCACAAUGGGCGAAAGCCUGAUGGAGCAACGCCGCGUGGGUGAAGAAGGUCUUCGGAUCGUAAAACCCUGUUGUUAGAGAAGAAAGUGUGUGAGAGUAACUGUUCACGUUUCGACGGUAUCUAACCAGAAAGCCACGGCUAACUACGUGCCAGCAGCCGCGGUAAUACGUAGGUGGCAAGCGUUAUCCGGAUUUUUUGGGCGUAAAGGGAACGCAGGCGGUCUUUUAAGUCUGAUGUGAAAGCCUUCGGCUUAACCGGAGUAGUGCAUUGGAAACUGGGAGACUUGAGUGCAGAAGAGGAGAGUGGAACUCCAUGUGUAGCGGUGAAAUGCGUAGAUAUAUGGAAGAACACCAGUGGCGAAAGCGGCUCUCUGGUCUGUAACUGACGCUGAGGUUCGAAAGCGUGGGUAGCAAACAGGAUUAGAUACCCCAGUAGUC